CCAAGUGGAUCAAGGCAGUG
RNAcentral lists this transfer RNA (20 nucleotides) under Brachystegia laurentii. RNAcentral describes it as "partial tRNA-His". Lineage: Eukaryota; Viridiplantae; Streptophyta; Magnoliopsida; Fabales; Fabaceae. The record is from RNAcentral. RNAcentral also lists the same sequence under 1 other name.